Molecule: ribosomal RNA, 497 nt
Filed under: uncultured bacterium
Lineage: Bacteria
Description: partial 16S ribosomal RNA
Rfam family: Bacterial small subunit ribosomal RNA
Source: RNAcentral
GAUGAACGCUGGCGGCGUGCCUAAUACAUGCGAGUCGAGCGAACAGACGAGGAGCUUGCUCCUCUGACGUUAGCGGCGGACGGGUGAGUAACACGUGGAUAACCUACCUAUAAGACUGGGAUAACUUCGGGAAACCGGAGCUAAUACCGGAUAAUAUAUUGAACCGCAUGGUUCAAUAGUGAAAGACGGUGUUGCUGUCACUUAUAGAUGGAUCCGCGCCGCAUUAGCUAGUUGGUAAGGUAACGGCUUACCAAGGCAACGAUGCGUAGCCGACCUGAGAGGGUGAUCGGCCACACUGGAACUGAGACACGGUCCAGACUCCUACGGGAGGCAGCAGUAGGGAAUCUUCCGCAAUGGGCGAAAGCCUGACGGAGCAACGCCGCGUGAGUGAUGAAGGUCUUCGGAUCGUAAAACUCUGUUAUUAGGGAAGAACAAAUGUGUAAGUAACUAUGCACGUCUUGACGGUACCUAAUCAGAAAGCCACGGCUAACUACGUG